GACAAACGCUGGCGGCGUGCUUAACACAUGCAAGUCGAACGAUGAAAGGAGAAGGAACUCUUCGGAGGGAAUUCUUUUGGAAUAGUGGCGGACGGGUGAGUAAUACAUGAGCAAUCUGCCUUUCACAGAGGGAUAGCCUCGGGAAACUGGGAUUAAUACCACAUAAAGCUUGACACUCGCAUGAGUAUCAGGUCAAAGAUUUAUCGGUGAAAGAUGAGCUCAUGACUGAUUAGCUAGUUGGUGAGGUAACGGCUCACCAAGGCUGCGAUCGGUAGCCGGACUGAGAGGUUGAACGGCCACAUUGGAACUGAGACACGGUCCAAACUCCUACGGGAGGCAGCAGUGGGGAAUAUUGCACAAUGGAGGGAACUCUGAUGCAGCGACGCCGCGUGAGCGAAGAAGGUUUUCGGAUCGUAAAGCUCUGUCCUAUGGGAAGAUAGUGACGGUACCGUAGGAGGAAGCCCCGGCUAACUACGUGCCAGCAGCCGCGGUAAUACGUAGGGGGCAAGCGUUGUCCGGAUUUAUUGGGCGUAAAGGGUGCGCAGGCGGUCUAUUAAGUCAGAUGUAAAAUACCGAGGCUCAACCUCGGGGAGCAACUGAAACUUUUAGACUUGAGUUAAGGAGAGGGAAGUGGAAUUCCUAGUGUAGCGGUGAAAUGCGUAGAUAUUAGGAAGAAUACCGGUGGCGAAGGCGACUUUCUGGACUUAAACUGACGCUGAGGCACGAAAGUGUGGGGAGCAAACAGGAUUAGAUACCCUGGUAGUCCACACUGUAAACGAUGAGUGCUAGGUGUCGGGGGUCAAACCUCGGUGCCGCAGCUAACGCAUUAAGCACUCCGCCUGGGGAGUACGUUCGCAAGAAUGAAACUCAAAGGAAUUGACGGGGACCCGCACAAGCAGCGGAGCAUGUGGUUUAAUUCGAAGCAACGCGAAGAACCUUACCGGGGCUUGACAUCUAUCUGCAAUCCUCAGAGAUGGGGAAUUUCUUCGGAACGGAUAGACAGGUGGUGCAUGGUUGUCGUCAGCUCGUGUCGUGAGAUGUUGGGUUAAGUCCCGCAACGAGCGCAACCCUUGUUGUUAGUUGCCAUCAUUAAGUUGGGCACUCUAACAAGACUGCCGGUGACAAACCGGAGGAAGGUGGGGAUGACGUCAAAUCAUCAUGCCCCUUAUGUCUUGGGCUACACACGUGCUACAAUGGUCGGUACAGAGGGCAGCAAGAGAGUGAUCUUGAGCGAAUCUCAAAAAGCCGAUCCCAGUUCGGAUUGUAGGCUGCAACUCGCCUACAUGAAGUCGGAAUCGCUAGUAAUCGCAGGUCAGCAUACUGCGGUGAAUACGUUCCCGGGCCUUGUACACACCGCCCGUCACACCACGAAAGUUGGUAACACCCGAAGUCGGUGAUCUAACCUGCAAAGGAGGAAGCCGCCCACGGUGGGAUCGAUGAUUGGGGUG
This 1448-nucleotide ribosomal RNA is filed under the name uncultured Peptostreptococcus sp. RNAcentral's name for it is "bacterial SSU rRNA". It matches the Rfam family "Bacterial small subunit ribosomal RNA". Lineage: Bacteria; Bacillati; Bacillota; Clostridia; Peptostreptococcales; Peptostreptococcaceae. The record is from RNAcentral.